UACGGGGGGGGCAAGCGUUGUUCGGAAUUACUGGGCGUAAAGGGCUCGUAGGCGGCCAACUAAGUCGGAUGUGAAAUCCCCAGGCUUAACCUGGGAACUGCAUCCGAUACUGGAUGGCUUGAAUCCGGGAGAGGGGUGCAGAAUUCCAGGUGUAGCGGUGAAAUGCGUAGAUAUCUGGAGGAAUACCGGUGGCGAAGGCGGCAUCCUGGACCGGCAUUGACGCUGAGUGAGCGAAAGCCAGGGGAGCAAACGGG
This 254-nucleotide ribosomal RNA is filed under the name uncultured bacterium. RNAcentral's name for it is "partial 16S ribosomal RNA". It matches the Rfam family "Bacterial small subunit ribosomal RNA", at positions 524 to 776 of the family's 1533-position model. The record is from RNAcentral.